Molecule: ribosomal RNA, 555 nt
Filed under: Escherichia coli
Lineage: Bacteria; Pseudomonadati; Pseudomonadota; Gammaproteobacteria; Enterobacterales; Enterobacteriaceae
Description: partial 23S ribosomal RNA
Rfam family: Bacterial large subunit ribosomal RNA
Source: RNAcentral
UGUUUCGGCAAGGGGGUCAUCCCGACUUACCAACCCGAUGCAAACUGCGAAUACCGGAGAAUGUUAUCACGGGAGACACACGGCGGGUGCUAACGUCCGUCGUGAAGAGGGAAACAACCCAGACCGCCAGCUAAGGUCCCAAAGUCAUGGUUAAGUGGGAAACGAUGUGGGAAGGCCCAGACAGCCAGGAUGUUGGCUUAGAAGCAGCCAUCAUUUAAAGAAAGCGUAAUAGCUCACUGGUCGAGUCGGCCUGCGCGGAAGAUGUAACGGGGCUAAACCAUGCACCGAAGCUGCGGCAGCGACGCUUAUGCGUUGUUGGGUAGGGGAGCGUUCUGUAAGCCUGUGAAGGUGUGCUGUGAGGCAUGCUGGAGGUAUCAGAAGUGCGAAUGCUGACAUAAGUAACGAUAAAGCGGGUGAAAAGCCCGCUCGCCGGAAGACCAAGGGUUCCUGUCCAACGUUAAUCGGGGCAGGGUGAGUCGACCCCUAAGGCGAGGCCGAAAGGCGUAGUCGAUGGGAAACAGGUUAAUAUUCCUGUACUUGGUGUUACUGCGAAGG